Molecule: ribosomal RNA, 495 nt
Filed under: uncultured bacterium
Lineage: Bacteria
Description: partial 16S ribosomal RNA
Rfam family: Bacterial small subunit ribosomal RNA
Source: RNAcentral
GACGAACGCUGGCGGCGUGCCUAAUACAUGCAAGUAGAACGCUGAAGGAGGAGCUUGCUCUUCUGGAUGAGUUGCGAACGGGUGAGUAACGCGUAGGUAACCUGCCUGGUAGCGGGGGAUAACUAUUGGAAACGAUAGCUAAUACCGCAUAAGAGUAGAUGUUGCAUGACAUUUACUUAAAAGGUGCAAUUGCAUCACUACCAGAUGGACCUGCGUUGUAUUAGCUAGUUGGUGGGGUAGCGGCUUACCAAGGCGACGAUACAUAGCCGACCUGAGAGGGUGAUCGGCCACACUGGGACUGAGACACGGCCCAGACUCCUACGGGAGGCAGCAGUAGGGAAUCUUCGGCAAUGGACGGAAGUCUGACCGAGCAACGCCGCGUGAGUGAAGAAGGUUUUCGGAUCGUAAAGCUCUGUUGUAAGAGAAGAACGAGUGUGAGAGUGGAAAGUUCACACUGUGACGGUAUCUUACCAGAAAGGGACGGCUAACUACGUG